This 253-nucleotide ribosomal RNA is filed under the name uncultured bacterium. RNAcentral describes it as "partial 16S ribosomal RNA". It matches the Rfam family "Bacterial small subunit ribosomal RNA", at positions 524 to 776 of the family's 1533-position model. The record is from RNAcentral.
UACGGAGGGUGCAAGCGUUAUCCGGAUUCAUUGGGUUUAAAGGGUGCGUAGGAGGGCAGGUAAGUCAGUGGUGAAAUCUCCGAGCUUAACUUGGAAACUGCCGUUGAUACUAUCUGCCUUGAAUAUUGUGGAGGUGAGCGGAAUAUGUCAUGUAGCGGUGAAAUGCUUAGAUAUGACAUAGAACACCAAUUGCGAAGGCAGCUCGCUACACAUAUAUUGACUCUGAGGCACGAAAGCGUGGGGAUCAAACAGG